CUUCAGGGUUGAGGAAGGACACAGAGGCUGAUUUUAAAUAAAGUAAUCUGCAAUCUGGAGGAUCCAACUGCAAAUUGCGAGACACAGAGAGGUCUUGGUGGGAUGUAACCCAGUGGCCGCCCACUCCCAGCACACUGAUGAUGUCAUGUUUGUGUGGAAAUGUCUGACUGCAGCACCUUGAAGGAUGCAUCAAUGAAGGAUGGAGGGGAGUCAUGAGAGGAGCACAGUUAAACGCGGAAACGCUGCUGGAGAUAUUCACCACACGACCUAAAAUGCAUACAAAGAACUGCCGUUCACUGCUGCUCCAAAGCAACACCCAUGAUGCUACUUCCACCAUGUUCUACAAUAAGGGUGGUAUUUCUGGUGUUUUGUUUAAUUAUUCAGCUCUGCAGAGGACUUCUGUUUC
Long non-coding RNA from Maylandia zebra (zebra mbuna), 406 nucleotides. RefSeq lists it as uncharacterized. Lineage: Eukaryota; Metazoa; Chordata; Actinopteri; Cichliformes; Cichlidae. The record is from RefSeq and is a predicted model, not a curated record.